This 427-nucleotide unclassified non-coding RNA is filed under the name plant metagenome. Its description in RNAcentral is "partial contains 5.8S ribosomal RNA, internal transcribed spacer 2, and large subunit ribosomal RNA". It matches the Rfam family "Bacterial small subunit ribosomal RNA", at positions 358 to 777 of the family's 1533-position model. The record is from RNAcentral.
GGAAUCUUCCGCAAUGGACGAAAGUCUGACGGAGCAACGCCGCGUGAAUGAUGAAGGCCUUCGGGUCGUAAAGUUCUGUUGUUAGGGAAGAACAAGUACCAGAGUAACUGCUGGUACCUUGACGGUACCUAACCAGAAAGCCACGGCUAACUACGUGCCAGCAGCCGCGGUAAUACGUAGGUGGCAAGCGUUGUCCGGAAUUAUUGGGCGUAAAGCGCGCGCAGGCGGUUUCUUAAGUCUGAUGUGAAAGCCCACGGCUCAACCGUGGAGGGUCAUUGGAAACUGGGAAACUUGAGUGCAGAAGAGGAGAGUGGAAUUCCACGUGUAGCGGUGAAAUGCGUAGAGAUGUGGAGGAACACCAGUGGCGAAGGCGACUCUCUGGUCUGUAACUGACGCUGAGGCGCGAAAGCGUGGGGAGCGAACAGGA